Molecule: ribosomal RNA, 112 nt
Filed under: Caerostris darwini
Lineage: Eukaryota; Metazoa; Arthropoda; Arachnida; Araneae; Araneidae
Source: RNAcentral
AACGGCCGUAUUAUGCUGAAUAUACCGGUUCUCGUUAGAUCACCGAAGUCAAGCAUCAUUGGGCGCGGUCAGUACUUGGGUGGGUGACCACCUGGGAUCACCGCGUGCCGUU